CUUCGAAUCAUUCACAAUGGGCGAAAGCCUGAUGGUGCAAUGCCGCGUGGGGGAUGACGGUCCUCGGAUUGUAAACCCCUGUCACCAAGGACUAAACCGACGUGAAGAGCGUCGCUGAAUUAACUUGGAGAGGAAGAGGUGGCUAACUCCGUGCCAGCAGCCGCGGUAAUACGGAGACCUCGAGCGUUACUCGGAAUCACUGGGCGUAAAGGGUCCGCAGGCGGUCAAAUGUGUCAGGUGUGAAAUCCCGGGGCUUAACUCCGGAACUGCGCCUGAAACUAUUUGACUAGAGGCUUGGAGGGGUGAACGGAAUUCCUGGUGUAGCGGUGAAAUGCGUAGAUAUCAGGAGGAACGCCAAUGGCGAAGGCAGUUCACUAGACAAGUUCUGACGCUCAGGGACGAAAGCGUGGGGAGCGAAAGGGAUUAGAUACCCCCGUAGUCC
Molecule: ribosomal RNA, 442 nt
Filed under: uncultured prokaryote
Description: bacterial SSU rRNA
Rfam family: Bacterial small subunit ribosomal RNA
Source: RNAcentral